AUGUCAGUGACAGAACGGCAGGCUGCCGUACGUCAGAGGAUCCUCGUCCUUUCCUACGAUCCCGUGGUCGCUGCCGCUGCUCCAUCCGACCUCCCUCAUCAGCCGCCGCCGACACUACGGCUCCUCCAUCCACCGACUCUGUCUGUGCAAGCGACCAGUUUCCUUCCGCCCCGACCUUCUCCACUGUCUCCCAGUUCAUCAUCCGUCCCUUGCUGCUCGAGGUGCUCAUCUGCCCAUGCCGCGAGGAAGCAACGUGAGGAGGAGAGACCUCGUCUCGAGAAGCCGCGGGAGGAGGGGCUCAAGCAGAGAAGAGCAGAUGCCAGCCAGGUAGUCGGCUUGGCUCGACGCCUUCCUUCGUGUCCGGGCCGCGGCAGACCCUAG
Molecule: ribosomal RNA, 381 nt
Filed under: Triticum aestivum (bread wheat)
Lineage: Eukaryota; Viridiplantae; Streptophyta; Magnoliopsida; Poales; Poaceae
Description: partial small subunit ribosomal RNA
Source: RNAcentral